AAUGAGUCUCAGAAAAAGCCUCAUGCCAGGCAGAGGGAAAGUGUUAAGGCCUCUAUAUGCAUAGAGUCUCUUUGUCAGAGUAAUGUGUCUUUGGAGACAGUGACUGGAGUGAGCACUACAGGGGGAGAAUUCAGUAUUCUCCUGACCGGGACUCUUUACCUACAGGCUGGAGAGUAUGUAUCUAUUCUUAUUGACAAUGGGACAGGCUCAGCCCUCACAAUUCUCCAAGACAGUCUGUUUUCUGGCAUUCUUAUUGGAGUAUGAGGACACAAACAAAACACAACCAAUGACUACAAAGAAGCCCAUUUUUACAGUGUUGACAAAAUACAUAUCUUUAUUAGGUAAGGUAUUCAGGACAUAUUAGAAUACUAAUUUCAUAAAAGGGAGGACUCUUUUCAAGCAUCUAAAAGAGACUCUACGUAUUACCACUGUUGCAAAGGGCAGCAGGAUUGCACUGCUAUUUCUUUCCAAAAUAAUGGUAACAUUUAAACUCUGUUCAUAGAGGUGUACGUAUUUUUUCAUGUGGUAUGUGUACGCAUUCCAUUCUAACAGGGCUGAAGUUUUAUUUAUUUGCAUUUGCUUUUUGAAAGGAUAUUGAUAUUUGAGUAUAUUUGCAAUAAAAUGUUUCCAUAACUGCUGAAACAUGCUCUGGGAAUUUAUUUCAGGGAAUACAGAGAUUUGUAUGAAUAGUACAGUUCUUCUUACUGCCUGACAAAAGUGUUUCAACAUGCAUUUGAAGCUUCAUGAAAGAUUUUCAUGUUUUUUGAUUGAUGACAACCAUUUCAGAAAAUAAAAAAGUAUUAAUGGCAGUAAUAAAGUAACUACUACCACAUUUGCAGGGUAAGUGGGGUGAAAAAAGCAACAGCAGCCGCUUAUUUAGGUCUUGAUUCCACAGAAUUCUAGCAAAAGGGACAAAUGGAAAUUUUUACUUUAAGCCUUUUAAAUGUUUGUAUUAUUUGGUAAUGCUGUUAAAUUUCAUUGUGCAUGAA
Sinocyclocheilus grahami is the source of this 989-nucleotide long non-coding RNA. RefSeq lists it as uncharacterized. The transcript is spliced from 3 exons. Lineage: Eukaryota; Metazoa; Chordata; Actinopteri; Cypriniformes; Cyprinidae. The record is from RefSeq and is a predicted model, not a curated record.